AAUAAGUAUAGUUUUACACUAUUCACGUUCAACGUUUCACUGUUCGCCUUAUUUAAAAAUUUUGUUAUGAUUAGUAUUUUCAUUGCUAUUAGAUGAUAAAACAUGAAUAGUAUUUUAUACGCGACUAAAUAUUUUUAAAUUUUUCACAAAUUUUUCAAAUAAAACGGAUGAUUAAAUAUUAGGCACGGAUAUCCACGGCUGCACUUAUU
Oryza nivara is the source of this 209-nucleotide non-coding RNA. The record is from Rfam. NCBI's taxonomy places the organism in Eukaryota, Viridiplantae, Streptophyta, Magnoliopsida, Poales, Poaceae.